RNAcentral lists this ribosomal RNA (252 nucleotides) under Butyricimonas virosa. RNAcentral's name for it is "partial 16S ribosomal RNA". It matches the Rfam family "Bacterial small subunit ribosomal RNA", at positions 524 to 776 of the family's 1533-position model. Lineage: Bacteria; Pseudomonadati; Bacteroidota; Bacteroidia; Bacteroidales; Odoribacteraceae. The record is from RNAcentral.
UACGGGGGAUGCGAGCGUUAUCCGGAUUUAUUGGGUUUAAAGGGCGCGUAGGCGGGACGUCAAGUCAGCGGUAAAAGACUGCAGCUAAACUGUAGCACGCCGUUGAAACUGGCGCCCUGGAGACGAGACGAGGGAGGCGGAACAAGUGAAGUAGCGGUGAAAUGCAUAGAUAUCACUUGGAACCCCGAUAGCGAAGGCAGCUUCCCAGGCUCGAUCUGACGCUGAUGCGCGAGAGCGUGGGUAGCGAACAGG